AUUGCGCGGCGAAAAAACCUUACACACAGUGUUUUUUGUUAUUACAAGAACUUUUGCUUUGGUCUGGACUAGAAAUAGUUUGGGCCAGAGGUUUACUGAACUAAACUUCAAUAUUUAUAUUGAAUUGUUAUUUAUUUAAUUGUCAAUUUGUUGAUUAAAUUCAAAAAAUCUUCAAAACUUUCAACAACGGAUCUCUUGGUUCUCGCAUCGAUGAAGAACGCAGCGAAAUGCGAUAAGUAAUAUGAAUUGCAGAUUUUCGUGAAUCAUCGAAUCUUUGAACGCACAUUGCGCCCUCUGGUAUUCCAGAGGGCAUGCCUGUUUGAGCGUCAUUUCUCUCUCAAACCUUCGGGUUUGGUAUUGAGUGAUACUCUUAGUCGAACUAGGCGUUUGCUUGAAAUGUAUUGGCAUGAGUGGUACUGGAUAGUGCUAUAUGACUUUCAAUGUAUUAGGUUUAUCCAACUCGUUGAAUAGUUUAAUGGUAUAUUUCUCGGUAUUCUAGGCUCGGCCUUACAAUAUAACAAACAAGUUUGACCUCAAAUCAGG
This 543-nucleotide unclassified non-coding RNA is filed under the name Debaryomyces sp. SB91. RNAcentral's name for it is "partial contains ITS1, 5.8S rRNA and ITS2". The stretch from base 176 to 329 matches the Rfam family "5.8S ribosomal RNA". The record is from RNAcentral. Lineage: Eukaryota; Fungi; Ascomycota; Pichiomycetes; Serinales; Debaryomycetaceae.